GUAAUUUAAAGCAGAAAUACAAUUUUCAGUGCUCUGAGGUGGCAUAGUGGAGUUCAAUUGUCUCAUGCUGUUACUCCUGCAUAUUUGGGCUCUGAAGUGAAACUGGCAGAGCUUCAAUGUGGCAAUACCACUACCUCUCCAUUGUGUGCACAGGAAGCUUAGGAAAAUCAGGCUCAGAUAUAAACUUCAGAAACUUAUACUGCCUUAUCUACUGCAUACUGCAAAGACGUGGCCAGCAACAUUUCUGCCAAUGCAAGACUUUGGGAAAAAUGUCUGUAUGUAAAUGUAUAGUUACUUAUUUUAUGUUAACUUGGUUCUUCAUAGCUAAGAAUUAAUCAAGGCUGCAAAGCUAUGUGAGAGCAAUAGUUUCUUUCCAUUUGGAAAGAAACUAUAAGAAACUUAGACUUAAACUAAAAGAAACUUAUUUGUAAGGCCUUAUGUGUAGUUAUAUACAGAUAUAGCUGAU
Molecule: long non-coding RNA, 466 nt
Filed under: Coturnix japonica (Japanese quail)
Lineage: Eukaryota; Metazoa; Chordata; Aves; Galliformes; Phasianidae
Description: lncRNA (ENSCJPG00005015982.1)
Source: RNAcentral